This 1457-nucleotide ribosomal RNA is filed under the name Salmonella enterica subsp. enterica serovar Manhattan. RNAcentral's name for it is "bacterial SSU rRNA". It matches the Rfam family "Bacterial small subunit ribosomal RNA". Lineage: Bacteria; Pseudomonadati; Pseudomonadota; Gammaproteobacteria; Enterobacterales; Enterobacteriaceae. The record is from RNAcentral.
CACAGAGAGCUUGCUCUCGGGUGACGAGUGGCGGACGGGUGAGUAAUGUCUGGGAAACUGCCUGAUGGAGGGGGAUAACUACUGGAAACGGUGGCUAAUACCGCAUAACGUCGCAAGACCAAAGAGGGGGACCUUCGGGCCUCUUGCCAUCAGAUGUGCCCAGAUGGGAUUAGCUAGUUGGUGAGGUAACGGCUCACCAAGGCGACGAUCCCUAGCUGGUCUGAGAGGAUGACCAGCCACACUGGAACUGAGACACGGUCCAGACUCCUACGGGAGGCAGCAGUGGGGAAUAUUGCACAAUGGGCGCAAGCCUGAUGCAGCCAUGCCGCGUGUAUGAAGAAGGCCUUCGGGUUGUAAAGUACUUUCAGCGGGGAGGAAGGUGUUGUGGUUAAUAACCGCAGCAAUUGACGUUACCCGCAGAAGAAGCACCGGCUAACUCCGUGCCAGCAGCCGCGGUAAUACGGAGGGUGCAAGCGUUAAUCGGAAUUACUGGGCGUAAAGCGCACGCAGGCGGUCUGUCAAGUCGGAUGUGAAAUCCCCGGGCUCAACCUGGGAACUGCAUUCGAAACUGGCAGGCUUGAGUCUUGUAGAGGGGGGUAGAAUUCCAGGUGUAGCGGUGAAAUGCGUAGAGAUCUGGAGGAAUACCGGUGGCGAAGGCGGCCCCCUGGACAAAGACUGACGCUCAGGUGCGAAAGCGUGGGGAGCAAACAGGAUUAGAUACCCUGGUAGUCCACGCCGUAAACGAUGUCUACUUGGAGGUUGUGCCCUUGAGGCGUGGCUUCCGGAGCUAACGCGUUAAGUAGACCGCCUGGGGAGUACGGCCGCAAGGUUAAAACUCAAAUGAAUUGACGGGGGCCCGCACAAGCGGUGGAGCAUGUGGUUUAAUUCGAUGCAACGCGAAGAACCUUACCUGGUCUUGACAUCCACAGAACUUUCCAGAGAUGGAUUGGUGCCUUCGGGAACUGUGAGACAGGUGCUGCAUGGCUGUCGUCAGCUCGUGUUGUGAAAUGUUGGGUUAAGUCCCGCAACGAGCGCAACCCUUAUCCUUUGUUGCCAGCGGUCCGGCCGGGAACUCAAAGGAGACUGCCAGUGAUAAACUGGAGGAAGGUGGGGAUGACGUCAAGUCAUCAUGGCCCUUACGACCAGGGCUACACACGUGCUACAAUGGCGCAUACAAAGAGAAGCGACCUCGCGAGAGCAAGCGGACCUCAUAAAGUGCGUCGUAGUCCGGAUUGGAGUCUGCAACUCGACUCCAUGAAGUCGGAAUCGCUAGUAAUCGUGGAUCAGAAUGCCACGGUGAAUACGUUCCCGGGCCUUGUACACACCGCCCGUCACACCAUGGGAGUGGGUUGCAAAAGAAGUAGGUAGCUUAACCUUCGGGAGGGCGCUUACCACUUUGUGAUUCAUGACUGGGGUGAAGUCGUAACAAGGUAACCGUAGGGGAACCUGCGGUUGGA